GUGCUCGCUUUGAUAGCACAUAUACUAAAAUUAGAACAAUACAGAGAAGAUUAGCAUGGCCCCUGCACAAGGAUGACAAGCAAAUUUGUGAAACAUUCCAUAUUAAC
This is a small nuclear RNA of Octodon degus (degu), 107 nucleotides long. The record is from Ensembl. Lineage: Eukaryota; Metazoa; Chordata; Mammalia; Rodentia; Octodontidae.